CCUAGGGAGGCUGCAGUGGGGAAUAUUGGACAAUGGGCGAAAGCCUGAUCCAGCCAUGCCGCGUGUGUGAAGAAGGCCUUCGGGUUGUAAAGCACUUUCAGUGGGGAAGAAAGCCUUGGGGCUAAUACCCUCGAGGAAGGACAUCACCCACAGAAGAAGCACCGGCUAACUCCGUGCCAGCAGCCGCGGUAAUACGGAGGGUGCGAGCGUUAAUCGGAAUUACUGGGCGUAAAGCGCGCGUAGGCGGUCUGAUAAGCCGGUUGUGAAAGCCCCGGGCUCAACCUGGGAACGGCAUCCGGAACUGUCAGGCUAGAGUGCAGGAGAGGAAGGUAGAAUUCCCGGUGUAGCGGUGAAAUGCGUAGAGAUCGGGAGGAAUACCAGUGGCGAAGGCGGCCUUCUGGACUGACACUGACGCUGAGGUGCGAAAGCGUGGGUAGCAAACAGGAUUAGAUACCCGAGUAGUC
This 464-nucleotide ribosomal RNA is filed under the name Vreelandella stevensii. RNAcentral's name for it is "partial 16S ribosomal RNA". It matches the Rfam family "Bacterial small subunit ribosomal RNA", at positions 338 to 795 of the family's 1533-position model. The record is from RNAcentral. Lineage: Bacteria; Pseudomonadati; Pseudomonadota; Gammaproteobacteria; Oceanospirillales; Halomonadaceae.